CCUACGGGUGGCAGCAGUGAGGAAUAUUGGUCAAUGGUCGGGAGACUGAACCAGCCAAGCCGCGUGAGGGAUGAAGGUACAGAGUAUCGUAAACCUCUUUUGUCGGGGAGCAAAAGCCGGACGUGUCCGGCUGUGAGAGUACCCGAAGAAAAAGCAUCGGCUAACUCCGUGCCAGCAGCCGCGGUAAUACGGAGGAUGCGAGCGUUAUCCGGAUUUAUUGGGUUUAAAGGGUGCGCAGGCGGAUUUUUAAGUCAGCGGUCAAAUCGUGGGGCUCAACCCCAUCCAGCCGUUGAAACUGGGGAUCUAGAGUGUGCGAGAGGUAUGCGGAAUGCGUGGUGUAGCGGUGAAAUGCAUAGAUAUCACGCAGAAUCCCGAUUGCGAAGGCAGCAUACCGGUGCACAACUGACGCUCAGGCACGAAAGCGUGGGUAUCGAACAGGAUUAGAUACCCCGGUAGUC
Molecule: ribosomal RNA, 458 nt
Filed under: uncultured bacterium
Lineage: Bacteria
Description: partial 16S ribosomal RNA
Rfam family: Bacterial small subunit ribosomal RNA
Source: RNAcentral